UGCUGGGUAACUCAACGGUAGAGUGGCGGACUUUUCACCCGUAUAAUGUAGGUUCGAUUCCUGCCCCGGCUAUA
This 74-nucleotide transfer RNA is filed under the name Caudoviricetes sp. RNAcentral's name for it is "tRNA-Lys". It matches the Rfam family "tRNA". From Rfam's summary of the family: Transfer RNA (tRNA) molecules are approximately 80 nucleotides in length. Their secondary structure includes four short double-helical elements and three loops (D, anti-codon, and T loops). Lineage: Duplodnaviria; Heunggongvirae; Uroviricota; Caudoviricetes. The record is from RNAcentral.